UCCAUUACAUCCAUCAUUCCCCUUCCUAAAGGAAUCCAUCUCCAUCCAAAGACACUACAUUUUCACAUCUCACAACCCCAUACACUUACACUUUCAUCCCUUGCCGUGACCUCCAUUUAGCCACUCCCCUUUCUUGUGCUGCAACAAGGUGGUGAAAAGAAAGUCCUUGGCGUUUCAAGCUUGAAGAUUGAAGCGUUUUAGGUGUACUUCGUUCUUGCUUUCAAUGUCUACUUUGUUAUUUUCUGAUUUUGUUGCAACUAUGAGUGGCUAAACCCCUAUUUAGUUAGGGGGAAGUUUGAAGCCAUGAACAUGCUUGAGAUAUGAAUUGAUUUCUUCCAAUUGUGAUUUGAUAAGUUGUGAUUGCAAUUCAAAUAUCUAUUUUAUUCAUAACUGAUUCUUGUAUGUUUAUUAAGGAUGCAUACUUAGUUUUCAUGCAUGAAUUAGAUGCUAGAAUAUAAAUGAGUUUUACCUAAUCGUUACAAGUUUAUAUUCAUGAGUAGUGAAGGUUGUUUAUCACAAUCGUGUUAAUUGAAUUCUUGGCAAAUGUAUCAUGCAUUCAUAGUUAUAAUUGCCUCGUCAACACUUAUGAUUUUCAUUGCACGUAAUGAUCUCUGAUUGUAUCUCUAUUAUGCAUUCAUAUAGGGGACUUUUAGAGAAUGAUUUGGGUUGUUGCAUGCAUUCAUCCAACUCAAUGAGUAAAGGAAAAUCUGAGGGUUAAUUUGUGCAUCACGGUUAAUCUGGGGUGUUGAGCAUCAUAGUUUAUUGAAAAGCAAUUGGAAAUUGAUUCAUGUACAAGUGUGUCAUGUG
Molecule: long non-coding RNA, 807 nt
Filed under: Malus domestica (apple)
Lineage: Eukaryota; Viridiplantae; Streptophyta; Magnoliopsida; Rosales; Rosaceae
Description: long non-coding RNA (MDOM_LNC015110)
Source: RNAcentral